AUAAUCAAAGAGCUGAAAGCUCUGAAGAAAAAUGACGCCACUGUCUCUAAUAUUGGGAUAGUUUUUAUGCAAGUCUUGAUUUUCACAUACCGUAAUUAGUUUAACAAUGCAACAUGUAUCGUGAGCAUAUAAUUGAUAUUCGUAUAUGUGUGUGUGUGUGAAGUGAAGGUGACAACUGGCUGUUUUUUUUAAGACAAAUGAAUAGGUCAAGACUAGCUGAAUUGUACAAAUAAAUACCGUAGAAAGGCUUGUAUAUUUCUCACUGGUACAUAGUCUGAAUCUGGGUCCGUUCGCUUCCAUUCACGUUUGCGCCCACUCAUUUUCACCCCUUUCACUUUCACACCCUACAUGUUCGCACCCAAUCUUAAUUGGUUUUGUGUUUAAUAACUCUGUAAGCAAGUGUUUUCUUAUAAGUAUAAUUGUUGUCAUUGUCUCAAAAUAAAGUGAGACAGCAAUUUUUUUUUUGUGUUGAAUAAAUCUUAAUCAUGUUUUGGAUAAGGUAUUGCUAAAAAUAAUAAUAAUCCUUUCUAAAUAAAGUGGUAUUUUGUCAACGUUUUAUUUUGUGUUGAAUAACUCUUAAUCAUGUUUUGGUUAGUGUAUUGCUAUAACUUGUUUCAUUGACUUGUUUCAAAAUGAAGUGAGAUUCUGACUAUGUUUGUUUCUGCGUGUUGAAUAAAUUUUAUCAUGUUUUGGUUAUAUUAGUGGAUUGCUAUAUUUUGGUUUCUAUGUUUUAUUGUUUCGUUGUUUCAGAUCAAUGGGACCAAGCUGUUAAAAACAAUUAUCUUUUGUGUUUUUUCCUUUAAAAUCUUCAAUGUUUUACUCAUACCAAGCUAUAAAUACAUUCAGUAUUCACACCAAAGCAAUUUAAAACAACAACCAUGAUUUUCCAAUUAUUCAACUUGAAUUUGAAUUAAAAUUGGGCGCGAAUGAGUGGAGUGUGAAUGUGCGAACGUGUAGGGUGCGAAAAUGUAUUGGGCACAAACAGACCUGAUACCACACAGUCUGAACCCCCUUCUCCCACAAAAUAUUAAGUAAAUAAUCUUUUUGUUACUGCUAUCAAAGGUCUAAUGAAAC
This 1074-nucleotide long non-coding RNA is filed under the name Mytilus galloprovincialis (Mediterranean mussel). Lineage: Eukaryota; Metazoa; Mollusca; Bivalvia; Mytilida; Mytilidae. The record is from RNAcentral.